GCCCAGCUUGCUGGGCGGAUUAGUGGCGAACGGGUGAGUAAUACGUGAGUAACCUGCCCCUGACUCUGGGAUAAGCCUGGGAAACCGGGUCUAAUACUGGAUACGACCUCCUGCCGCAUGGUGGGGGGUGGAAAGGGUUCACUGGUUUUGGAUGGGCUCACGGCCUAUCAGCUUGUUGGUGGGGUAAUGGCUCACCAAGGCGACGACGGGUAGCCGGCCUGAGAGGGUGACCGGCCACACUGGGACUGAGACACGGCCCAGACUCCUACGGGAGGCAGCAGUGGGGAAUAUUGCACAAUGGGCGAAAGCCUGAUGCAGCGACGCCGCGUGAGGGAUGACGGCCUUCGGGUUGUAAACCUCUUUCAGUAGGGAAGAAGCGCAAGUGACGGUACCUGCAGAAGAAGCGCCGGCUAACUACGUGCCAGCAGCCGCGGUAAUACGUAGGGCGCAAGCGUUGUCCGGAAUUAUUGGGCGUAAAGAGCUCGUAGGCGGUUUGUCGCGUCCGCUGUGAAAGCCCGGGGCUCAACCCCGGGUCGGCAGUGGGUACGGGCAGACUAGAGUGCAGUAGGGGAGACUGGAAUUCCUGGUGUAGCGGUGAAAUGCGCAGAUAUCAGGAGGAACACCGAUGGCGAAGGCAGGUCUCUGGGCUGUUACUGACGCUGAGGAGCGAAAGCAUGGGGAGCGAACAGGAUUAGAUACCCUGGUAGUCCAUGCCGUAAACGUUGGGCACUAGGUGU
RNAcentral lists this ribosomal RNA (737 nucleotides) under Kocuria sp. Its description in RNAcentral is "bacterial SSU rRNA". It matches the Rfam family "Bacterial small subunit ribosomal RNA", at positions 73 to 823 of the family's 1533-position model. Lineage: Bacteria; Bacillati; Actinomycetota; Actinomycetes; Micrococcales; Micrococcaceae. The record is from RNAcentral.